AAUGAACGUUGGCGGCAUGGAUUAGGCAUGCAAGUCGAGCGAGAAGAGUUUUGAAGCUUGCUUUAGAACUCGGACAGCGGCGAAAGGGAGAGUAACGCGUAGUUAUGUGCCCUAGGGUCCGGAAUAGCCACGGGAAACUGUGGGUAAUGCCGGAUAACAUCCCCGGAUCAAAGGUGUGAUUCCGCCCUAGGAGCAGACUGCGUCCUACUAGCUAGUUGGUGGGGUAAUGGCUCACCAAGGCAAUGAUGGGUAGCGGGUGUGAGAGCAUGACCCGUCUCACUGGGACUGAGACACUGCCCAGACACCUACGGGUGGCUGCAGUCGAGAAUCUUCGGCAAUGGGCGAAAGCCUGACCGAGCGAUGCCGCGUGCGGGAUGAAGGCCCUCGGGUUGUAAACCGCUGUCGUAGGGGAGGAAGGUUCCGUGAAGAGCGGAAUUUGACCUAUCCUAGGAGGAAGUACGGGCUAAGUUCGUGCCAGCAGCCGCCGUAA
Molecule: ribosomal RNA, 490 nt
Filed under: uncultured bacterium
Lineage: Bacteria
Description: partial 16S ribosomal RNA
Rfam family: Bacterial small subunit ribosomal RNA
Source: RNAcentral